This 253-nucleotide ribosomal RNA is filed under the name uncultured bacterium. Its description in RNAcentral is "partial 16S ribosomal RNA". It matches the Rfam family "Bacterial small subunit ribosomal RNA", at positions 524 to 776 of the family's 1533-position model. The record is from RNAcentral.
GACGUAGGGCGCGAGCGUUGUCCGGAUUUAUUGGGCGUAAAGAGCUCGUAGGCGGUUUGUCGCGUCGGCUGUGAAAGCCCGGAGCUCAACUCCGGGUCUGCAGUCGAUACGGGCAGACUUGAGUGUUGCAGGGGAGACUGGAAUUCCUGGUGUAGCGGUGAAAUGCGCAGAUAUCAGGAGGAACACCGGUGGCGAAGGCGGGUCUCUGGGCAACAACUGACGCUGAGGAGCGAAAGCGUGGGGAGCGAACAGG